GAAGUGAAGCCAAAGGGGUGAUUUUGUUGAAGAAUUCCUACAGCUGCUAAGGGUUGUCCAUCCACAAGAAGACUUCCCUUACAGCCCUGUCUUGAGGCACCUGUUUCUGGUUUUCUGGUGGGCAGCUGGCUUUAUUCCAUUAUUAUUCCUUCUGGGAAAUGAAACAGAAUGACUGAAGUCCUGUCGUGUCGAAAGGAUUUCCCAGGAAAGAAUACUGGAGUGGGUUGCCAUUUUCC
This is a non-coding RNA of Odocoileus virginianus texanus, 236 nucleotides long. The record is from RefSeq and is a predicted model, not a curated record. Lineage: Eukaryota; Metazoa; Chordata; Mammalia; Artiodactyla; Cervidae.